UGAGACCCAGCUUGCUGGGUGGAUUAGUGGCGAACGGGUGAGUAACACGUGAGUAACCUGCCCUUAACUCUGGGAUAAGCCUGGGAAACUGGGUCUAAUACCGGAUAGGAGCGUCCACCGCAUGGUGGGUGUUGGAAAGAUUUAUCGGUUUUGGAUGGACUCGCGGCCUAUCAGCUUGUUGGUGAGGUAAUGGCUCACCAAGGCGACGACGGGUASCCGGCCUGAGAGGGUGACCGGCCACACUGGGACUGAGACACGGCCCAKACUCCUACGGGAGGCAKCASUGGGGAAUAUUGCACAAUGGCGCAAGCCUGAUGCAGCGACGCCGCGUGAGGGAUGACGGCUUCGGGUUGUAAACCUCUUUCAGUAGGGAAGAAGCGAAAGUGACGGUACCUGCAGAAGAAGCACCGGCUAACUACGUGCCAGCAGCCGCGGUAAUACGUAGGGUGCGAGCGUUAUCCGGAAUUAUUGGGCGUAAAGAGCUCGUAGGCGGUUUGUCGCGUCUGUCGUGAAAGUCCGGGGCUUAACCCCGGAUCUGCGGUGGGUACGGGCAGACUAGAGUGCAGUAGGGGAGACUGGAAUUCCUGGUGUAGCGGUGGAAUGCGCAGAUAUCAGGAGGAACACCGAUGGCGAAGGCAGGUCUCUGGGCUGUAACUGACGCUGAGGAGCGAAAGCAUGGGGAGCGAACAGGAUUAGAUACCCUGGUAGUCCAUGCCGUAAACGUUGGGCACUAGGUGUGGGGACCAUUCCACGGUUUCCGCGCCGCAGCUAACGCAUUAAGUGCCCCGCCUGGGGAGUACGGCCGCAAGGCUAAAACUCAAAGGAAUUGACGGGGGCCCGCACAAGCGGCGGAGCAUGCGGAUUAAUUCGAUGCAACGCGAAGAACCUUACCAAGGCUUGACAUGUUCUCGAUCGCCGUAGAGAUACGGUUUCCCCUUUGGGGCGGGUUCACAGGUGGUGCAUGGUUGUCGUCAGCUCGUGUCGUGAGAUGUUGGGUUAAGUCCCGCAACGAGCGCAACCCUCGUUCCAUGUUGCCAGCACGUCGUGGUGGGGACUCAUGGGAGACUGCCGGGGUCAACUCGGAGGAAGGUGAGGACGACGUCAAAUCAUCAUGCCCCUUAUGUCUUGGGCUUCACGCAUGCUACAAUGGCCGGUACAAUGGGUUGCGAUACUGUGAGGUGGAGCUAAUCCCAGAAAGCCGGUCUCAGUUCGGAUUGGGGUCUGCAACUCGACCCCAUGAAGUCGGAGUCGCUAGUAAUCGCAGAUCAGCAACGCUGCGGUGAAUACGUUCCCGGGCCUUGUACACACCGCCCGUCAAGUCACGAAAGUUGGUAACACUCCGAAGCCGGUGG
This 1352-nucleotide ribosomal RNA is filed under the name Micrococcus luteus. RNAcentral's name for it is "bacterial SSU rRNA". It matches the Rfam family "Bacterial small subunit ribosomal RNA", at positions 70 to 1433 of the family's 1533-position model. The record is from RNAcentral. Lineage: Bacteria; Bacillati; Actinomycetota; Actinomycetes; Micrococcales; Micrococcaceae.